RNAcentral lists this long non-coding RNA (672 nucleotides) under Anas platyrhynchos platyrhynchos (common mallard). Its description in RNAcentral is "lncRNA (ENSAPLG00000018375.1)". The record is from RNAcentral. Lineage: Eukaryota; Metazoa; Chordata; Aves; Anseriformes; Anatidae.
AAAUCAGCCUUCUAUUCAGUAAUCACUGCAAUAAUAAUGUGGAAGAUCCCUGGAUGCAUAUUUCUGUCUGACCAGUGACUUCCAUCAAAUUAUGCUGGCCAGCUCUUUCAGACAAACCACUUUCAAAUCCAAGUACAAAGCUCAACUUUACCUCAAUAAUUUCUUCACAUAAGCACCUACGGAAAAACAGACACAGCUUGGAAAAUCAAGUAAUUUCCCUCCUCUGGGAAAGAAGAAAAAGAAAAGGAUUAUAGCUGUCCUUUUUAAUCUGAAAUAUUUGAGACAUGCUGAAUUACCGCACUGAUGAGACUUACGAUUUCCAUGAGAAAAUGAGACAUGUAGUCUCCCUCUGGGAAGGUGUUUGACUUUAACAGAAACAUCCAUGUUCCCUCAGGCUGGGAUGUGACUGGCAAUGUACCAUCGAUCCUUAAACUGACUGAUUUCUUAUCCUGCUUGCCAUACAUAGUAUUAUCACCAAAGAAGCUGUUCCACGUUUGCAGCAAGAAGCCAUUGCAGACCAGCUCCGGUGAAAGACUGCGUGUGUACCUGAUAUCCUAGAUGCUGUAUUUGAGGAAAGGAAUUGAGGAAAGGAUUAAUGCCAUUCAGUUGCCUAUGCUGCACUCAUUUCAACACUUCUGUGGGAGUGUCUUGAUCACAGUUCAUCUGAGGUAG